Molecule: long non-coding RNA, 313 nt
Filed under: Brassica napus (rape)
Lineage: Eukaryota; Viridiplantae; Streptophyta; Magnoliopsida; Brassicales; Brassicaceae
Description: long non-coding RNA (BNAP_LNC006891)
Source: RNAcentral
CUGGAAAGGCAAGAGCAUCUCGGUCCAAGAUGCUAGAUACUCCGCGCAUGUGGAGAAGCUAAUUGGCUAGUCCAAAUGAGCUUAUCCUCUCCUGAUUGACCUCACAUGCUUUAGUCCUCUCCUUGAUUUCGAAAACCCUUGUAUGCUCACUCUAUAUAUUGUAACUCAUCAACACUAAUAAAGAUUAUGCAGUUUGAGUCUCUCUAAUCUCUUAGACACUAUGGUUCUCUCUUAGACUCUAAACGGCUCUCAAGUUACUUAGUCUUUCAUAAUCACUUCUAAACUUCACCUAAACUCUCACUUACAUUCUAGU